Molecule: long non-coding RNA, 639 nt
Filed under: Vulpes vulpes (red fox)
Lineage: Eukaryota; Metazoa; Chordata; Mammalia; Carnivora; Canidae
Description: lncRNA (ENSVVUG00000010927.1)
Source: RNAcentral
CUGCAAAGAUCCUAUUUCCAAAUAAGGUCACUUUGCAGUAAGUAAAGCAACAGUGAGCCUGCCGGGCAGACGGGGUCCUUGAGGAGACUGAGGAGCUGCAGAGAUAGAUCAAGGCAUAGGCACAUGGGGAGAGAAAACAGGCUGGGAUAACUCGUAAUUUCCCACCCAUAAUCCUAUUUGCCAGGCCCAGCUGGAAGCCCACAUCACCUGGAAAAAGCAGCCUACAGGUGUUGAUCCCUACUGCCAAGGUUUUGCAUCGGUCUAAGGGAUUGAGUAUAUUCCCAUGGACAUCCCACACAACAGUAGCAGAGAAGUCUGGAGGCAGAAAUAUUAGAUCAGCAUAAAAGGUGCAUCUAAAGUUGCCAUGUACAAGGGGUGAGUUUAUGCCAAUAAUGAGGAAUGAAUGGAGCUGCACAAAGCGGAAUGGACUGCUACAUGAAACAAAAAAGUUCAACACUCAUUCAAUGAAUUAUGGUAUCACAGUGUAUUAAGUGAAGGGAAUGUACACGUACCCAAACAAGCUAUAAAAGACAUGAAAAUGCCAUGACAGGUGAGUACUGUCAGGAUAAGAGAGGAGUAUAAUGGAAUUAAAGGUGCUUAAGGAAGUAGAGAAACUUGUAUAGUAGGUGAGCAGGAUAC